AAUGAAGUGCCUGAAUAAAGGAUUAUCGUGAUAGGAUAAACAAUGUAAUUAAAUUACCUUCAUUA
This 65-nucleotide transfer RNA is filed under the name Symploce macroptera. RNAcentral describes it as "tRNA-Ile". The record is from RNAcentral. Lineage: Eukaryota; Metazoa; Arthropoda; Insecta; Blattodea; Blattellidae.